Molecule: ribosomal RNA, 930 nt
Filed under: uncultured bacterium
Lineage: Bacteria
Description: bacterial SSU rRNA
Rfam family: Bacterial small subunit ribosomal RNA
Source: RNAcentral
AGAGUUUGAUCCUGGCUCAGAAUCAACGCUGGCGGCGUGCCUCAGACAUGCAAGUCGAACGCGAAAGUCCCCUUCGGGGGGCAAGUAGAGUGGCGCACGGGUGAGUAACACGUAGGUAAUCUACCUUCGGAUGGGGAAUAACAAUCGGAAACGGUUGCUAAUACCGCAUAAUGCAGCGGCACCUAAUGGUGACAGUUGUUAAAGCGGGGGAUCGAAAGACCUCGCGUCUGAAGAGGAGCCUGCGGCGGAUUAGCUAGUUGGUAAGGUAAUGGCUUACCAAGGCGACGAUCCGUAACCGGCCUGAGAGGGCGGUCGGUCACACUGACACUGACAUACGGGUCAGACUCCUACGGGAGGCAGCAGUCGGGAAUUUUGGGCAAUGGGCGAAAGCCUGACCCAGCAACGCCGCGUGAAGGAUGAAAUCCCUCGGGAUGUAAACUUCGCAAGAACGGGAAGAAUAAGUAGGGGACAAUACCCCCUAUGAUGACGGUACCGUUUGUAAGCUCCGGCUAACUCCGUGCCAGCAGCCGCGGUAAUACGGAGGGUGCAAGCGUUGUUCGGAAUCACUGGGCGUAAAGGGCGCGUAGGCGGCUAUGCAAGUCAUAUGUGAAAGCCCACGGCUUAACCGUGGAAGUGCAUGUGAAACUGCAUGGCUUGAGUAUCGGAGAGGAAAGUGGAAUUCCCGGUGUAGAGGUGAAAUUCGUAGAGAUCGGGAGGAAUACCGGUGGCGAAGGCGACUUUCUGGACGAAUACUGACGCUGAGGCGCGAAAGCGUGGGGAGCAAACAGGAUUAGAUACCCUGGUAGUCCACAGCUGUAAACGAUGAACACUAUGUGCAGGGAGUGUUGACCCUUUCUGUGCCGCAGCUAACGCAUUAAGUGUUCCGCCUGGGGAGUACGGUCGCAAGGUUAAACUCAAAGGAAUUGACGG